This 442-nucleotide ribosomal RNA is filed under the name uncultured Bacteroidota bacterium. RNAcentral describes it as "bacterial SSU rRNA". It matches the Rfam family "Bacterial small subunit ribosomal RNA", at positions 917 to 1359 of the family's 1533-position model. Lineage: Bacteria; Pseudomonadati; Bacteroidota. The record is from RNAcentral.
GGGCCCGCACAAGCGGUGGAGCAUGUGGUUUAAUUCGAUGAUACGCGAGGAACCUUACCCGGGCUUGAAAUGUACACGAAUACUGAGGAAACUUGGUAGCCGGCAACGGCGUGUAUGUAGGUGCUGCAUGGUUGUCGUCAGCUCGUGCCGUGAGGUGUCGGCUUAAGUGCCAUAACGAGCGCAACCCUUACCGGUAGUUGCUAGCAGGUAAUGCUGAGGACUCAACCGGGACUGCCGCCGCAAGGUGUGAGGAAGGUGGGGAUGACGUCAAAUCAGCACGGCCCUUACGUCCGGGGCGACACACGUGUUACAAUGGCCGGUACAGCGGGAAGCUACCACGCGAGUGGAUGCGAAUCUCGAAAACCGGUCCCAGUUCGGAUCGGAGUCUGCAACCCGACUCCGUGAAGCUGGAUUCGCUAGUAAUCGCGCAUCAGCCAUGGCG